Molecule: long non-coding RNA, 338 nt
Filed under: Ananas comosus (pineapple)
Lineage: Eukaryota; Viridiplantae; Streptophyta; Magnoliopsida; Poales; Bromeliaceae
Description: long non-coding RNA (ACOM_LNC040763)
Source: RNAcentral
GCCAAAAUAGAUCCAACAGUAUUAAUUUAGGCUUCGUUUGGAAUUGCGGGGACAUUGUAUUACGUGCAGUGAGAAGUACGAUGAAAAAUACCAUGUUUGUUUCUAUACAUAAUAUUACGUUCUGCAUAUCAUGAUGAGUCGGUUAUAAUAUAUUUUCUACAAUCCCACCGGAGAACACAGAAACAUAUUCCUAUAUACUUCUACUUCAACUCCAUUUUAUCUAAUGGGCGUCAUCCUAUAUAUUUUUACUUCAACUCCAUUUUAUCUAAUGGACGUCAGAUAAACUUCAAUACCAAAUUAAGCCUUACUAAUAAAAAGUGAUAAAGCUUUAUCUCAUC